UACGGGGGGAGCAAGCGUUGUUCGGAUUUACUGGGCGUAAAGGGCGCGUAGGCGGUCAGCACAAGUCAGUUGUGAAAUCUCCGGGCUUAACCCGGAAAGGUCAACUGAUACUGUGCGACUAGAGUGCGGAAGGGGCAACUGGAAUUCCCGGUGUAGCGGUGGAAUGCGUAGAGAUCGGGAAGAACAUCAGUGGCGAAGGCGGCCUGCUGGGCUGUUGCUGACGCUGAGGCGCGACAGCGUGGGGAGCAAACAGG
RNAcentral lists this ribosomal RNA (254 nucleotides) under uncultured bacterium. RNAcentral's name for it is "partial 16S ribosomal RNA". It matches the Rfam family "Bacterial small subunit ribosomal RNA", at positions 524 to 776 of the family's 1533-position model. The record is from RNAcentral.